This 906-nucleotide ribosomal RNA is filed under the name Triticum aestivum (bread wheat). RNAcentral's name for it is "partial small subunit ribosomal RNA". Lineage: Eukaryota; Viridiplantae; Streptophyta; Magnoliopsida; Poales; Poaceae. The record is from RNAcentral.
AUGUGGAAUGCAGUGGUGGAUGUGCUAGCAAUUAUGGUGGACGAUGCCAGAGAACACUCUUCUCAAGGUGGAGCUUCGGGUUUGAUUGUACAAAUGGAAUGCUUUCAAUUUGUGUUCAUCAUGCUAUUCUUGAUAAACUUGUUGAACAUCACAAAUAUGCUAUCACAAACUUUGCAAAGGAAGAAUCAAGAUGUUGUUGAAGCCCUUCGUUUGAUCUUGAAUGUGAAAGAAGCUUUGCAAAAUAUGAGGGACAAUGGGUAUGAGUCAUUAUGUGACCAAGCAAAUAACUUCUGUGAGGAACAUGGCAUUGAGGUGCCAAAUAUGGAUGAUCUUGUUGGAGCUAUGGGGCAAUCUGUUCGUUCCAAGAAUAAGGUGACUCGACAUCAUUAUUUCAAGGUUAGCAUAUUCAAUGUUGCUAUUGAUGCAACUCUCACUGAGAUGAAUCAUCGAUUCAAUGAAGCUAACACCGAGUUAGUGGAUUGCAUGUCUUGUCUUAAUCCGGUAAACAACUUCUCAAAGUUUAACAUUGACAAGCUUAUUCGGCUUGCUGAAAUUUAUACUAAGGAUUUUACGCAAGCUGAAUGGUUGUUGCUAAGAUAUGAGCUUCCAACAUUCCUUACAAAUAUUAGGAGAAGUGAGGAAUUUAAUGCAUGUCCGGAUGUUUCUACCCUUGCUCGGUUGAUGGUUCAAACAACAAAAUAUAGAACUUUCCAAUUGGUAUAUCGCCUCAUCGAGUUGACAUUGAUUCUUCCAGUGGCAACUUCAUCGGUCAAGAGGAUAUUUUCAGCAAUGAAGAUCAUCAAAACUGAUUUGCGCAAUAAGAUAUCAGAUGAUUGGCUUAAUGAUUUAAUGGUUUGCUUUGUGAGAAAAGGAUAUUCAGAAGUAUUCCCGAUGAUCAAAUUAUGA